AACGAACGUUAGCGGCGCGCUUAACACAUGCAAGUCGAACGAGAAAGGGCUUCGGCCCCGGUACAGUGGCGCACGGGUGAGUAACACGUGGGUAAUCUACCCUUGAGCGGGGGAUAACGUUCCGAAAGGAGCGCUAAUACCGCAUAAGACCACGCUCUCGAAAGGGAGCGAGGUAAAAAGUAGGCCCUCUGAAUUCACGCUUACACUCGAGGAUGAGCCCGCGGCCCAUCAUGGUAGUUGGUAGGGUAAUGGCCUACCAAGCCGAAGACGGGUAGCUGGUCUUAGAGGAUGAUCAGCCACACUGGAACUGAGACACGGUCCAGACUCCUACGGAGGCAGCAGUGGGAAUCUUGCGCAAUGGGCGAAAGCCUGACGCAGCGACGCCGCGUGGGUGAUGAAGGCCUGGUCGUAAGCUCUGUGGGAGAGACGAAUAAGACGUGGCUAAUAUCCACGGCGAUGACGGUAUCUCCUUAGCAAGCACCGGCUAACUACUGUGCCA
This 499-nucleotide ribosomal RNA is filed under the name uncultured bacterium. RNAcentral's name for it is "bacterial SSU rRNA". It matches the Rfam family "Bacterial small subunit ribosomal RNA", at positions 29 to 510 of the family's 1533-position model. The record is from RNAcentral.